Molecule: ribosomal RNA, 468 nt
Filed under: uncultured bacterium
Lineage: Bacteria
Description: partial 16S ribosomal RNA
Rfam family: Bacterial small subunit ribosomal RNA
Source: RNAcentral
GACGAACGCUGGCGGCGUGCUUAACACAUGCAAGUCGAACGGAAAGGCCCUGCUUUUGUGGGGUGCUCGAGUGGCGAACGGGUGAGUAACACGUGAGUAACCUGCCCUUGACUUUGGGAUAACUUCAGGAAACUGGGGCUAAUACCGGAUAUGAGCUCCUGCUGCAUGGUGUGGGUUGGAAAGUUUCGGCGGUUGGGGAUGGACUCGCGGCUUAUCAGCGUGUUGGUGGGGUAGUGGCUUACCAAGGCUUUGACGGGUAGCCGGCCUGCGAGGGUGACCGGCCACAUUGGGACUGGGAUACGGCCCAGACUCCUACGGGAGGCAGCAGUGGGGGAUAUUGCACAAUGGGCGGAAGCCUGAUGCAGCAACGCCGCGUGCGGGAUGACGGCCUGCGGGUUGUAAACCGCUUUCGCCUGUGACGAAGCGUGAGUGACGGUAAUGGGUAAAGAAGCAACGGCUAACUACGUG